This 1344-nucleotide ribosomal RNA is filed under the name uncultured bacterium. RNAcentral describes it as "16S ribosomal RNA". It matches the Rfam family "Bacterial small subunit ribosomal RNA", at positions 28 to 1378 of the family's 1533-position model. The record is from RNAcentral.
GACGAACGCUGGCGGCGUGCUUAACACAUGCAAGUCGAACGGAAAGGCCCUGCUUUUGUGGGGUGCUCGAGUGGCGAACGGGUGAGUAACACGUGAGUAACCUGCCCUUGACUUUGGGAUAACUUCAGGAAACUGGGGCUAAUACCGGAUAGGAGCUCCUGCUGCAUGGUGGGGGUUGGAAAGUUUCGGCGGUUGGGGAUGGACUCGACGGCUUAUCAGCUUGUUGGUGGGGUAGUGGCUUACCAAGGCUUUGACGGGUAGCCGGCCUGAGAGGGUGACCGGCCACAUUGGGACUGAGAUACGGCCCAGACUCCUACGGGAGGCAGCAGUGGGGAAUAUUGCACAAUGGGCGGAAGCCUGAUGCAGCAACGCCGCGUGCGGGAUGACGGCCUUCGAGUUGUAAACCGCUUUCGCCUGUGACGAAUCGUGAGUGACGGUAAUGGGUAAAGAAGCACCGGCUAACUACGUGCCAGCAGCCGCGGUGAUACGUAGGGUGCGAGCGUUGUCCGGAUUUAUUGGGCGUAAAGGGCUCGUAGGUGGUUGAUCGCGUCGGAAGUGUAAUCUUGGGGCUUAACCCUGAGCGUGCUUUCGAUACGGGUUGACUUGAGGAAGGUAGGGGAGAAUGGAAUUCCUGGUGGAGCGGUGGAAUGCGCAGAUAUCAGGAGGAACACCAGUGGCGAAGGCGGUUCUCUGGGCCUUUCCUGACGCUGAGGAGCGAAAGCGUGGGGAGCGAACAGGCUUAGAUACCCUGGUAGUCCACGCUGUAAACGGUGGGUACUAGGUGUGGGGUCCAUUCCACGGGUUCCGUGCCGUAGCUAACGCUUUAAGUACCCCGCCUGGGGAGUACGGCCGCAAGGCUAAAACCCAAAGGAAUUGACGGGGCCCCGCACAAGCGGCGGAGCAUGCGGAUUAAUUCGAUGCAACGCGUAGAACCUUACCUGGGUUUGACAUGGAUCGGGAGUGCUCAGAGAUGGGUGUGCCUCUUUUGGGGUCGGUUCACAGGUGGUGCAUGGCUGUCGUCAGCUCGUGUCGUGAGAUGUUGGGUUAAGUCCCGCAACGAGCGCAACCCUUGUUCACUGUUGCCAGCACGUUAUGGUGGGGACUCAGUGGAGACCGCCGGGGUCAACUCGGAGGAAGGUGGGGAUGACGUCAAGUCAUCAUGCCCCUUAUGUCCAGGGCUUCACGCAUGCUACAAUGGCUGGUACAGAGAGUGGCGAGCCUGUGAGGGUGAGCGAAUCUCGGAAAGCCGGUCUCAGUUCGGAUUGGGGUCUGCAACUCGACCUCAUGAAGUCGGAGUCGCUAGUAAUCGCAGAUCAGCAACGCUGCGGUGAAUACGUUCCCGGG